AGUUGACUAUACUUCCUCACUCUACCAAAGAGAUAACGGUUUGCUUUUAUCCUUCUGCACUUGGAAGAGCUGGUCAUGAAACUUGUAUCAACUUCUUCUGUACUCAGAUGAAGAACAGCCUAGACACCUUGUCAUUGACCACUGCUGGGACAGCUUCAUGAAUGAGAAUUCUGCCUUCCGAUUUAGUUCUCUGUGUCGUAGGCAAGGAAUCGUGUUGCCUCCGGAAGGAAAUGUAGAUAUCCUGGUGUUAUUUAAACCCAAAAGUAUGACAUUGUGCAAAACAUUGGUCAUUGUUGAAGUGAUAAGAGCAAAUGGGGAAAAUUGGACUAUUGACAACUUUGAUGAAUUAGAUGAAGACUUUAAAAGCAUUAUCGGUAUAGACAAAGAUGACAUUCAAGAAAUACACUGGAUAUAUCCUAUUAUUGGACUCCCACAGGCACCGCUCCCUAAAACUCCUCCACGUAAGUAUAUUUUAGAGGGAAAAAAAUCAAUGAAUCUGUGGAACUUUAGACAUUCUGUAAUUGUAUUUCUUCUUUGUACUAAUAAUAAAUUUGAGUUCAAAAGAAAAUAAAU
Molecule: long non-coding RNA, 573 nt
Filed under: Fukomys damarensis (Damara mole-rat)
Lineage: Eukaryota; Metazoa; Chordata; Mammalia; Rodentia; Bathyergidae
Description: lncRNA (ENSFDAG00000025776.1)
Source: RNAcentral